UGUGGGAGCGAGCUUGCUCGCGAUAGGGCCUUUACCUUCAACAUACAUGUUGACUGAAAGUCCGCUAUCGCGAGCAAGCUCGCUCCCACA
This 90-nucleotide non-coding RNA is filed under the name Pseudomonas fluorescens. Lineage: Bacteria; Pseudomonadati; Pseudomonadota; Gammaproteobacteria; Pseudomonadales; Pseudomonadaceae. The record is from RNAcentral. RNAcentral also lists the same sequence under 1 other name.